AGGUACAAGGGUCUCAGCACUCGGACAGCCUCUUUUUUUCCAGACCCCUCUGACCUCGGUCCAUAUUCCAAGUUUUCCUGCUGGAAUUUCUGCACCGUCAGAUCGCAUGGAAGUUUGGUGGAAUCGGAGUUUCGGAGCGUUGAAGCUUUUGAAAAGCAAGGCGAGGAUGUGUGACCUCCCACCCCUCCCUCCCUCCCACCCUCCCAAGUGAAGCAUCACAGGACAAUUGUGAUGGACAAAACAACAACAACAAUAACAGCAAAAAAGACAGAGGGAGACCUUGGAGAAAAAGGGGAGGGGCGGAAUUUAACCCCCUUCAGCUACCUUGUGUGCGUGAUUAACAGAUUCGGGCCUUAAAAUUUCUCCCGUGGAAGUGGGGGGGGGAAAGACCCCACCCCAUUGUCAGCAUUUGAUCCUUCGGCCAAAGAGCCCCGUUCCAAAAGCGUCAAAUAAAGAGGCAGCGGUCGCAAAGAGAAA
Molecule: long non-coding RNA, 477 nt
Organism: Thamnophis elegans (Western terrestrial garter snake)
Lineage: Eukaryota; Metazoa; Chordata; Lepidosauria; Squamata; Natricidae
Exons: 2
Source: RefSeq, a predicted model, not a curated record